Molecule: non-coding RNA, 1386 nt
Organism: Poecilia reticulata (guppy)
Lineage: Eukaryota; Metazoa; Chordata; Actinopteri; Cyprinodontiformes; Poeciliidae
Source: RefSeq, a predicted model, not a curated record
UUUUUGACUGGGAGCGAUGCAUUUAUUCAGAGGGCAACAGGUGUAAUUUCUGGUACAAUGCCAUUUUACGGCAAAAGAUGGCAGUAGUGGUGCAUGAGCGAGAGAUUGACUUCCAAGCCUUACGAGGCUUCAAACGUUAUCACCUGCCCUAUCAAACCGAGUCGCGAGGAUGGAGAAGUUUUUCUGCUUUAUCGACUCUAGCUGCCUUAAUUUGAGAGUGGCCGGACAGGAAGACGGUGUGGGGCUGACUGCAUAGUUGUACAUCGGUCUCUCGCGCUCUAUUUCUGCUCCCCCUGAUUUUAGAAUAAAGACGCUCUGUGAGUCUGGGCAGCCUGUGAAAGCUGAGUGAGGUUGCACGGCAGCUUUCCAGCCUCCCACAAGGCGUGGCUUAGCUGUUUGAUAGGGUGACGUUUUUUCUCUGAACAUCUCAUUCCUGUAAGCUGAGCACUGAGAGUUCACAAGAACUCUGCGCUCAUCACAACUUAUUCUGCAAAACCAUGAAGACGGUGACCAUUGAGUACUGUAAAGACUGAAGUUAUGCGUACCGCUACCAGGAACUAGCCGGCGUUCUCCGGCAGAUUCCUGGAGUGAAGGUAAAAGGAGUCACCGGGAGGACAGAUAGCUUUGAGGUAUACCUGGAGGAUGAGCUUCUCUACUCAAAGCUAGAGACGAAGUCGUUUCCAGAUCCUGAGCAGAUGGCGGACAAGGUGAUGGAGAAGCUUCCUGAUGAAAACGACAAGAAGAAAUCCAAGAGACAGACAUGCUCUGUCCUGUAAAAGGUGGAGAAACAAACAAUUAUAUUCACACUGACGAAAAAACAACAAAAACAUACACCUGUUACGCCCCUCCGGAGUAUGAAAAUUAGACUAAGGAUUUUAAUAAGUGGGCGCAAAAUUUGUGUGUACCAAAACGAAAAGAUCUGAUAUGGCUCUGUCGCGGCUGUGAAUAUAAACAAUACGUUUGUGAGAGGGGCUCUCUGGAUCCAGGCGGCGAUCGACGCCUCUUUUUAUGAAUGCACACACCUAAAACUCAAGUGGUGUGUGCACGAUGCAAGUCGAGAAGCUUCUCGGCCGCCUGGAGCCCGACAGUCUGCUUCAGUCUCAUCAAAGUUAGGAGAAACGGAGGGAGGGGGUGAAAAACAGAUGCUCCUAAUGAAGAUUUGUAUAUUUGGGGAUUUCUUUGUUUAUACUACUGAACAGAAUCUACGAGUCUCUGUGGGAGUUUUUAAUCGCUCCUUAGAGUCUACUACGCCCCAGACUCUCAGCAACAUUCACUUAAUCUUUGCAAAAUGUAUUUGAUGUUUUUAUGAUCUAAAAUAUCUCAUUAAUAUCCGUUUUCCUCUGUCAAAGCAUAAUUACAGAGGAGCAAUAAAAACAUAAAAUCUGG